CUGAAAAAAGAGGAUGUGAUCAAUUAGCCCAGUGAAUUUUGGUGGGAAAAAAUGAGAGGAUGCGCAGAGAAGGAUGGUGGUUAAAGCUUCCUUUUUCCCACUCCCAUGGGCAAUCGAAAGCCAAUUGAUAAGAGGAUCCCCAAAAUGACAGCCUGCUAUAAAAACUAGGGAUGAAUCCCAAAGCACAGAACCUUAAGUAUAAAUUUCUGCUACGUCACAGCA
This 222-nucleotide long non-coding RNA is filed under the name Fukomys damarensis (Damara mole-rat). Its description in RNAcentral is "lncRNA (ENSFDAG00000022565.1)". The record is from RNAcentral. Lineage: Eukaryota; Metazoa; Chordata; Mammalia; Rodentia; Bathyergidae.